GGGCCGUUAACUCAGUUGGAAGAGUACUGGAUUUUUAAUCCAGGAGUCGCGGGUUCGAAUCCCGCACGGCCUA
This 73-nucleotide transfer RNA is filed under the name bacterium. RNAcentral's name for it is "tRNA-Lys". It matches the Rfam family "tRNA". Rfam says of the family: Transfer RNA (tRNA) molecules are approximately 80 nucleotides in length. Their secondary structure includes four short double-helical elements and three loops (D, anti-codon, and T loops). The record is from RNAcentral. RNAcentral also lists the same sequence under 1 other name.